ACGGGUGAGUAACACGUGGGCAACCUACCUUAUCGACUGGGAUAACUCCGGGAAACCGGGGCUAAUACCGGAUAACAUCUAGCACCUCCUGGUGCCGGAUUAAAAGAGGGCUUCUUGCUCUCACGAUGAGAUGGGCCCGCGGCGCAUUAGCUAGUUGGAGAGGUAAUGGCUCCCCAAGGCGACGAUGCGUAGCCGACCUGAGAGGGUGAUCGGCCACACUGGGACUGAGACACGGCCCAGACUCCUACGGGAGGCAGCAGUAGGGAAUCUUCCGCAAUGGACGAAAGUCUGACGGAGCAACGCCGCGUGAGUGAUGAAGGGUUUCGGCUCGUAAAGCUCUGUUAUGAGGGAAGAACACGUACCGUUCGAAUAGGGCGGUACCUUGACGGUACCUCAUCAGAAAGCCACGGCUACUACGUGCCAGCAGCCGCGGUAAUACGUAGGUGGCAAGCGUUGUCCGGAAUUAUUGGGCGUAAAGCGCGCGCAGGCGGCCUUUUAAGUCUGAUGUGAAAUCUUGCGGCUCAACCGCAAGCGGCCAUUGGAAACUGGGAGGCUUGAGUACAGAAGAGGAGAGUGGAAUU
This 581-nucleotide ribosomal RNA is filed under the name uncultured Bacillus sp. RNAcentral's name for it is "bacterial SSU rRNA". It matches the Rfam family "Bacterial small subunit ribosomal RNA", at positions 102 to 668 of the family's 1533-position model. The record is from RNAcentral. Lineage: Bacteria; Bacillati; Bacillota; Bacilli; Caryophanales; Bacillaceae.